Molecule: long non-coding RNA, 341 nt
Organism: Puntigrus tetrazona (Sumatra barb)
Lineage: Eukaryota; Metazoa; Chordata; Actinopteri; Cypriniformes; Cyprinidae
Exons: 3
Source: RefSeq, a predicted model, not a curated record
CAGUGUCUCUACAAUUUUAAGAAGUUUUUUAAGCGGGUCUGCUGCUGUUCAAUUGGAAAAUUAAAAGUUUGCACGGUACUGUGAAAUCACAAGAAGUGAGUUUGUGGCUGAUCCGAAUGUCUGUGGACCUUUACGCACCCCAGAGACGUAUGACGCAGCUGUUGCUGAUCUCCAGGCUGAAAACAUCCAAGGUGUCAGAGGGAUAAAGGUGCCAUUUUCUCUUUAGUGCAAAUAUGACUGACUCAGAGCGAACCUUCCUAGAUGUCGCCAUCAUGGAAGUCCUACCACAACUUCAAGCAGUAAACAAAAACAUCCUGGAAGAGCACUUGCAGUCCAUUGGA